GUGAGGAAUAUUGGACAAUGGGCGCAAGCCUGAUCCAGCCAUGCCGCGUGCAGGAAGACGCAUCUAUGGUGUGUAAACUGCUUUUGUACGGGAAGAAACACUCCCUCGUGAGGGAGCUUGACGGUACCGUAAGAAUAAGGAUCGGCUAACUCCGUGCCAGCAGCCGCGGUAAUACGGAGGAUCCAAGCGUUAUCCGGAAUCAUUGGGUUUAAAGGGUCCGUAGGCGGUUUAAUAAGUCAGUGGUGAAAGACCAUCGCUCAACGAUGGAACGGCCAUUGAUACUGUUAGACUUGAAUUACAAGGAAGUAACUAGAAUAUGUAGUGUAGCGGUGAAAUGCUUAGAUAUUACAUGGAAUACCAAUUGCGAAGGCAGGUUACUACUUGUGGAUUGACGCUGAUGGACGAAAGCGUGGGGAGCGAACAGGAUUAGAUACCCCAGUAGUCC
Molecule: ribosomal RNA, 445 nt
Filed under: uncultured bacterium
Lineage: Bacteria
Description: partial 16S ribosomal RNA
Rfam family: Bacterial small subunit ribosomal RNA
Source: RNAcentral